AUGCAAAAUAUAUAUUUUCUAUAGUUAUAGUUUUGUUUGGAAAAAAAUAUUUUCUGAAUAUUUUCCGUAGCUUGUAAAUCUUGGUAACUGCAUGCCACAAUCAUAAUGACCCAAUAUAAUUAAAACCCCUUUAAUAUAAGUUCACGAUACAAAAAAAGGGAUUGGCAACCAUGAAUAAUUAGCAUGAAUGGGACAAUACAAUAACUUAUUUUUUUUUGCACAAGCCUAUCUACAACUUUUCGGUACAUGCAAAAAUAUAAUUGAUUGUUAAUUGAUGUGCCUUUAUUGUAAUUUGUUACCCUCAACAUAAAUCUAUCUACAUAGAACAAACGAGUAGACUUUGCUUGUGUGUUGUUUUAUGAGCUCUGUUGGCACCAAGAUGUAAUCCUACUGUAUUGCUCUACUUAUCUUGCGUGUUGACAUGAUGCAACGCAGGCUAGGGGUUUUCCUCGGAGUAUCGCUGUCUGAAAGAAGAAGACAGAGGUAAUCACUUUAAUUCCUUUCUCUUUGGCAGUGUGCAAGGACAGUUUCUGUUCAAUGAUGAGUCCCUGUAAUUCUGUUUUGGUUGACAGGAGUGCUGAUGGACGAAAGUAUAAACAAGUCCAUUAAACACUCUAUAUAUUAAUCAAUUGAAUUUGAUUCAAGCUUUGAAUCAAUUUCCAUACGUCACACGGCAGAGAGGGGGCGUGAGAAUGAAUAGUGGUUGCACGUGGGGCAUGUCUGGCCCCGUUGCACAUAAUAACACACCGAAACCUCUGCGCUCUACGUCUGUUGCUACCUUCCGAACUCAAUGGAACAAUGCACAUACACUUUUCAUGCACGCUGCAACUAAAUUCUAACCUAACAUUGCAGGAGGAUAGACAUCAAAAUGUACGGAGCCACAUAUGUGCAGCAGCCUUAAAAUCACAUCAUAAAAGUCAAAACAACGACAAAAAAAAGUACAGUUUGUUUGACGUUACGCCCACAACUGACAGCUUCCCAACUAGUUGCCAAAGAUUUACUUGAGCGGUUAACCGUGUUUGUUUGUUCCUGGCGCAAUGUCCACUCACAGUCUCUCCAAAACUGUCCAGAGAGGCGGGGCUUGAGCAGCGGCACGUUGCCAGGCUAAAUUUAGCAGCGCGGGAGAAAGAGUUCAAUGGAGUGACGUUGUAAGCGUAGGCGGGCCGGGGUUCCCUCCCUCCUUGUUUACAGUUGCAGGGUUUCCCUGAAUGUGUGGGAUGAGUUUAGGGCUAAUAUAUGGAGAACGGCUGGCUGCUCCUGGGCAUAACUCAAAUGGAGAGGAUGGAGGCACAUCCAGACAGCAUGCAGAAUAACUAUGUGCUGGUCCACACUGAGAACACAUGUGCACGGUCAGACCCAUCCCGUCGCAUCAAGGUGCUCCUUGCCCACAUGGUAGUGGCCAUAGUGGUUGUAUCAGUAAUGAUAGUGGCAUACCUGGUCUAUCCGGCGAACGGAGCUGCAUCCCAGGAGGUGUCGACCCGUAAAAAAGUUAACAUAACCGGCCCGCUGAAAGACCCUAACCACCAGGGAGAAUAUGACAUAUUCACGGCUGAAAAAACGGCUGCCUACUUAAUCUAUGGCGAGCUGAAGUGCAUUGAGCACACAUACGAAUUUAUUUAUUUGUAUCAAAACUGGAAAGAGCAAAGCCCUGAAAUCAUCCAAACUAAGAAGUAUCACUAUCACGAUUCCUGCAUUGUAAAAGAGGUCAAUCUCAGACAAGACAGCAGGGUUUAUCUGCUCUUUAAUAUCGGCACGCCCAAAUGCAAUGAGUCCGUGUUCCGUGUCUAUGAACUGUGAUGGGCAGUCUUGGUUUCAGAAACAAUGCUUGUUAACCCUGUAUCAACUGUAAGGGAUUAAUUAAAGCUCAAUCAACUGUAUAUGUGUGCGUCUGUUUAAAAUAACUGAAACUGAAAUAACUAAUUUAUUUUGAGGAAAAAGGCCUUUAAGGGAAAUAAGCACUGUAAAAGUGUACCUAAAUCUAAAUAUGGGCUAUAUUAUUUUGUAGAUAAUUUUUUUUGAUAUUAUCUAUCUAACAAUUGUCAAAUACCAAUCCUACAUUGUUACCAAAUAUACAUUGUUUUUCCUGUUUAAUGAACCUUUGUUACAUAAUUCAAUUAGUAAACAUGCCUAUCCUGUUUAAAAA
Molecule: long non-coding RNA, 2143 nt
Organism: Gadus macrocephalus (Pacific cod)
Lineage: Eukaryota; Metazoa; Chordata; Actinopteri; Gadiformes; Gadidae
Exons: 3
Source: RefSeq, a predicted model, not a curated record